RNAcentral lists this ribosomal RNA (490 nucleotides) under uncultured bacterium. RNAcentral's name for it is "bacterial SSU rRNA". It matches the Rfam family "Bacterial small subunit ribosomal RNA", at positions 8 to 518 of the family's 1533-position model. The record is from RNAcentral.
AGGGUUCGAUUCUGGCUCAGGACGAACGCUGGCGGCGUGCUUCAUACAUGCAAGUCGAACGAGAAGCUGACUUCGGUCAGUGGAAAGUGGCGGACGGGUGAGUAAUAUGUAGAGAAUCUGCCCUUGAGUGGGGGACAACAGAGGGAAACUUCUGCUAAUACCCCAUAUGAGCUAACUUGAAAUAGUUAUCUUGAAAACUCCGGUGCUCAAGGAUGAGUCUGCAUCUGAUUAGCUAGUUGGCGGUGUAAUGGACCACCAAGGCGACGAUCAGUAGCUGGUUUGAGAGGAUGAUCAGCCACAAUGGGACUGAGACACGGCCCAUACUCCUACGGGAGGCAGCAGUAGGGAAUUUUGCGCAAUGGGCGAAAGCCCUGACGCAGCAACGCCGCGUGAACGAUUAAGCCCUUCGGGGUGUAAAGUUCUGUCAGUAGGGACGAAUUUUGACGGUACCUACAGAGGAAGCACCGGCUAACUCCGUGCCAGCCGCCGC